Non-coding RNA from Podarcis lilfordi (Lilford's wall lizard), 85 nucleotides. The record is from the annotation of a GenBank genome assembly. Lineage: Eukaryota; Metazoa; Chordata; Lepidosauria; Squamata; Lacertidae.
GGAAGAUGUGGCUUUAACAUGGGCCAAUGGAGAAGAGCUUCUGUCUUGUGUGCAGAAGGUCCCGGUUCAAUCCCUGACAUCUCCA